UUUAAACCGAUGGAAGUUUGAGGCAAUAACAGGUCUGUGAUGCCCUUAGAUGUUCUGGGCCGCACGCGCGCUACAAUGCUAGGCUCAACGAGUUCUUACUUGGCUGAAAGGCCUGGUUAAUCUUUUGAAAUCCUAGCGUGCUUGGGCUUGCCUCUUGCAACUAGAGGCACCAACGAGGAAUUCCUAGUAGACGCACGUCAUCAACGUGCAUCGAUUACGUCCCUGCCCUUUGUACACACCGCCCGUCGCUCCUACUGAUUGAAUGCUCCGGUGAGACGUCGAGAGAGUGCCCCUCCGAUCAGCAAUGGUCGAGGAGUGUUCGAACUUCCUCAAAUUGUAGCAUUUAGAAGAAGGAGAAGUCGUAACAAGGUUUCCGU
This 377-nucleotide ribosomal RNA is filed under the name uncultured Plasmodiophoridae. Its description in RNAcentral is "SSU rRNA". It matches the Rfam family "Eukaryotic small subunit ribosomal RNA", at positions 1428 to 1806 of the family's 1831-position model. Lineage: Eukaryota; Endomyxa; Phytomyxea; Plasmodiophorida. The record is from RNAcentral.